GGGUUGUGAGGUUAAGCGACUAAGCGUACACGGUGGAUGCCCUGGCAGUCAGAGGCGAUGAAGGACGUGCUAAUCUGCGAAAAGCGUCGGUAAGGUGAUAUGAACCGUUAUAACCGGCGAUGUCCGAAUGGGGAAACCCAGUGCAAUUCGUUGCACUAUCGUUAACUGAAUACAUAGGUUAACGAGGCGAACCGGGGGAACUGAAACAUCUAAGUACCCCGAGGAAAAGAAAUCAACCGAGAUUCCCCCAGUAGCGGCGAGCGAACGGGGAGCAGCCCAGAGUCUGAAUCAGCUUGUGUGUUAGUGGAACGGUCUGGAAAGUCCGACGGUACAGGGUGAUAGUCCCGUACACCAAAAUGCACAGGCUGUGAACUCGAAGAGUAGGGCGGGACACGUGGUAUCCUGUCUGAAUAUGGGGGGACCAUCCUCCAAGGCUAAAUACUCCUGACUGACCGAUAGUGAACCAGUACCGUGAGGGAAAGGCGAAAAGAACCCCGGCGAGGGGAGUGAAAAAGAACCUGAAACCGUGUACGUACAAGCAGUGGGAGCACCUUCGGGUGUGACUGCGUACCUUUUGUAUAAUGGGUCAGCGACUUAUAUUCUGUAGCAAGGUUAACCGUAUAGGGGAGCCGCAGGGAAACCGAGUCUUAACUGGGCGUUAAGUUGCAGGGUAUAGACCCGAAACCCGGUGAUCUAGCCAUGGGCAGGUUGAAGGUUGGGUAACACUAACUGGAGGACCGAACCGACUAAUGUUGAAAAAUUAGCGGAUGACUUGUGGCUGGGGGUGAAAGGCCAAUCAAACCGGGAGAUAGCUGGUUCUCCCCGAAAGCUAUUUAGGUAGCGCCUCGUGAACUCAUCUUCGGGGGUAGAGCACUGUUUCGGCUAGGGGGUCAUCCCGACUUACCAACCCGAUGCAAACUACGAAUACCGAAGAAUGUUAUCACGGGAGACACACGGCGGGUGCUAACGUCCGUCGUGAAGAGGGAAACAACCCAGACCGCCAGCUAAGGUCCCAAAGUCAUGGUUAAGUGGGAAACGAUGUGGGAAGGCACAGACAGCCAGGAUGUUGGCUUAGAAGCAGCCAUCAUUUAAAGAAAGCGUAAUAGCUCACUGGUCGAGUCGGCCUGCGCGGAAGAUGUAACGGGGCUAAACCAUGCACCGAAGCUGCGGCAGCGACACUAUGUGUUGUUGGGUAGGGGAGCGUUCUGUAAGCCUGCGAAGGUGUGCUGUGAGGCAUGCUGGAGGUAUCAGAAGUGCGAAUGCUGACAUAAGUAACGAUAAAGCGGGUGAAAAGCCCGCUCGCCGGAAGACCAAGGGUUCCUGUCCAACGUUAAUCGGGGCAGGGUGAGUCGACCCCUAAGGCGAGGCCGAAAGGCGUAGUCGAUGGGAAACAGGUUAAUAUUCCUGUACUUGGUGUUACUGCGAAGGGGGGACGGAGAAGGCUAUGUUAGCCGGGCGACGGUUGUCCCGGUUUAAGCAUGUAGGCUGGUUAUCCAGGCAAAUCCGGAUAAUCAAGGCUGAGGUGUGAUGACGAGGCACUACGGUGCUGAAGUAACAAAUGCCCUGCUUCCAGGAAAAGCCUCUAAGCAUCAGGUAACAUUAAAUCGUACCCCAAACCGACACAGGUGGUCAGGUAGAGAAUACCAAGGCGCUUGAGAGAACUCGGGUGAAGGAACUAGGCAAAAUGGUGCCGUAACUUCGGGAGAAGGCACGCUGGUGUGUAGGUGAAGUCCCUGCGGAUGGAGCUGAGACCAGUCGAAGAUACCAGCUGGCUGCAACUGUUUAUUAAAAACACAGCACUGUGCAAACACGAAAGUGGACGUAUACGGUGUGACGCCUGCCCGGUGCCGGAAGGUUAAUUGAUGGGGUUAUCCGUAAGGAGAAGCUCUUGAUCGAAGCCCCGGUAAACGGCGGCCGUAACUAUAACGGUCCUAAGGUAGCGAAAUUCCUUGUCGGGUAAGUUCCGACCUGCACGAAUGGCGUAAUGAUGGCCAGGCUGUCUCCACCCGAGACUCAGUGAAAUUGAACUCGCUGUGAAGAUGCAGUGUACCCGCGGCAAGACGGAAAGACCCCGUGAACCUUUACUAUAGCUUGACACUGAACAUUGAGCCUUGAUGUGUAGGAUAGGUGGGAGGCUUUGAAGCGUGGACGCCAGUCUGCGUGGAGCCAACCUUGAAAUACCACCCUUUAAUGUUUGAUGUUCUAACGUUGGCCCCUUACCGGGGUUGCGGACAGUGUCUGGUGGGUAGUUUGACUGGGGCGGUCUCCUCCCAAAGCGUAACGGAGGAGCACGAAGGUUAGCUAAUCCUGGUCGGACAUCAGGAGGUUAGUGCAAUGGCAUAAGCUAGCUUGACUGCGAGCGUGACGGCGCGAGCAGGUGCGAAAGCAGGUCAUAGUGAUCCGGUGGUUCUGAAUGGAAGGGCCAUCGCUCAACGGAUAAAAGGUACUCCGGGGAUAACAGGCUGAUACCGCCCAAGAGUUCAUAUCGACGGCGGUGUUUGGCACCUCGAUGUCGGCUCAUCACAUCCUGGGGCUGAAGUAGGUCCCAAGGGUAUGGCUGUUCGCCAUUUAAAGUGGUACGCGAGCUGGGUUUAGAACGUCGUGAGACAGUUCGGUCCCUAUCUGCCGUGGGCGCUGGAGAAUUGAGGGGGGCUGCUCCUAGUACGAGAGGACCGGAGUGGACGCAUCACUGGUGUUCGGGUUGUCAUGCCAAUGGCACUGCCCGGUAGCUAAAUGCGGAAGAGAUAAGUGCUGAAAGCAUCUAAGCACGAAACUUGCCCCGAGAUGAGUUCUCCCUGAGACUUUAAGUCUCCUGAAGGAACGUUGAAGACGACGACGUUGAUAGGCCGGGUGUGUAAGCGCAGCGAUGCGUUGAGCUAACCGGUACUAAUGAACCGUGAGGCUUAACCUUACAACGCCGAAG
This 2923-nucleotide ribosomal RNA is filed under the name Klebsiella pneumoniae. Its description in RNAcentral is "bacterial LSU rRNA". It matches the Rfam family "Bacterial large subunit ribosomal RNA". The record is from RNAcentral. Lineage: Bacteria; Pseudomonadati; Pseudomonadota; Gammaproteobacteria; Enterobacterales; Enterobacteriaceae.